UACGAAGGGGGCUAGCGUUGCUCGGAAUCACUGGGCGUAAAGCGCACGUAGGCGGAUUGUUAAGUCAGGGGUGAAAUCCUGGAGCUCAACUCCAGAACUGCCUUUGAUACUGGCGAUCUUGAGUCCGAGAGAGGUGAGUGGAACUGCGAGUGUAGAGGUGAAAUUCGUAGAUAUUCGCAAGAACACCAGUGGCGAAGGCGGCUCACUGGCCCGGUACUGACGCUGAGGUGCGAAAGCGUGGGGAGCAAACAGG
RNAcentral lists this ribosomal RNA (253 nucleotides) under uncultured bacterium. RNAcentral's name for it is "partial 16S ribosomal RNA". It matches the Rfam family "Bacterial small subunit ribosomal RNA", at positions 524 to 776 of the family's 1533-position model. The record is from RNAcentral.